CCUACGGGAGGCUGCAGUGGGGAAUAUUGGACAAUGGGCGAAAGCCUGAUCCAGCCAUGCCGCGUGUGUGGAGAAGGCCUUCGGGUUGUAAAGCACUUUCAGUGGGGAAGAAAGCCUUGGGGCUAAUACCCUCGAGGAAGGACAUCACCCACAGAAGAAGCACCGGCUAACUCCGUGCCAGCAGCCGCGGUAAUACGGAGGGUGCGAGCGUUAAUCGGAAUUACUGGGCGUAAAGCGCGCGUAGGCGGUCUGAUAAGCCGGUUGUGAAAGCCCCGGGCUCAACCUGGGAACGGCAUCCGGAACUGUCAGACUAGAGUGCAGUAGAGGAAGGUAGAAUUCCCGGUGUAGCGGUGAAAUGCGUAGAGAUCGGGAGGAAUACCAGUGGCGAAGGCGGCCUUCUGGACUGACACUGACGCUGAGGUGCGAAAGCGUGGGUAGCAAACAGGAUUAGAUACCCCUGUAGUC
This 465-nucleotide ribosomal RNA is filed under the name Vreelandella stevensii. RNAcentral's name for it is "partial 16S ribosomal RNA". It matches the Rfam family "Bacterial small subunit ribosomal RNA", at positions 338 to 795 of the family's 1533-position model. Lineage: Bacteria; Pseudomonadati; Pseudomonadota; Gammaproteobacteria; Oceanospirillales; Halomonadaceae. The record is from RNAcentral.